Molecule: ribosomal RNA, 460 nt
Filed under: uncultured bacterium
Lineage: Bacteria
Description: partial 16S ribosomal RNA
Rfam family: Bacterial small subunit ribosomal RNA
Source: RNAcentral
CCUACGGGUGGCAGCAGUGAGGAAUAUUGGUCAAUGGACGAGAGUCUGAACCAGCCAAGUAGCGUGAAGGAUGACUGCCCUAUGGGUUGUAAACUUCUUUUAUAUGGGAAUAAAAUGUUCCACGUGUGGGAUUUUGUAUGUACCAUAUGAAUAAGGAUCGGCUAACUCCGUGCCAGCAGCCGCGGUAAUACGGAGGAUCCGAGCGUUAUCCGGAUUUAUUGGGUGUAAAGGGAGCGUAGGUGGAUUGUUAAGUCAGUUGUGAAAGUUUGCGGCUCAACCGUAAAAUUGCAGUUGAAACUGGCAGUCGUGAGUACAGUAGAGGUGGGCGGAAGUCGUGGUGUAGCGGUGAAAUGCUUAGAUAUCACGAAGAACUCCGAUUGCGAAGGCAGCUCACUGGACUGCAACUGACACUGAGGCUCGAAAGUGUGGGUAUCAAACAGGAUUAGAUACCCUAGUAGUC